AAAAGUACCAUCAAACCUAAUUGCCUCUUAUGCUUCCAAGGUUAUAAUGUAUUUUAGGAAGAUAUUAAAUACAGUAAGGUGCAUCUACUGAGUAAAAAAAAAAGAUCUUCAAAGCCUCCAGAACUUCAGAGAUCCUACUUUUCUAGCUGUCAUCAUUUAUUUUCAAGCAUAAUAUUUGUAUCCAGUGUACCAGGAGGAAGAAUCUCAGGCUAUUUUCUUAAAUCAUGAUUUACAAGAGGAAGCAAUGGAAAUGGGCAUAGGAAAUCAAUUGCUUUCUUGGCACUUGAUGCUUAACAGUACCAGACUGAAGAGCUAGGGUGAUUCAAGUCUUGGCACCAUUCCACCGUUCCUGUUCUUCAGCCAUUCUUUAGCUACUCCCCCUCCCAAUCAAUUACUGCAUUAAUUCAUGGUACAAAACUCUGAAAACAUGAGAGAAAAAAGAAGAAAGAAGCAGCUACUUUUAAAUUUAAGUUUUUCCAGAUGAAGUUUAAUAAAAAAUAAAUCAAAUUUAGAAAUUUAUCAAAUGAGUAUAAAGAUUUCAACUGUACAAUAUAUCCAUGCACAUAAAAGAGCAGGAAUA
Long non-coding RNA from Crotalus tigris (Tiger rattlesnake), 580 nucleotides. RefSeq lists it as uncharacterized. NCBI's taxonomy places the organism in Eukaryota, Metazoa, Chordata, Lepidosauria, Squamata, Viperidae. The transcript has 5 exons. The record is from RefSeq and is a predicted model, not a curated record.